RNAcentral lists this unclassified non-coding RNA (884 nucleotides) under Hevea brasiliensis (rubber tree). Lineage: Eukaryota; Viridiplantae; Streptophyta; Magnoliopsida; Malpighiales; Euphorbiaceae. The record is from RNAcentral.
AAAAAAGUUACAGAGAAGAUAUAUUAUCGAAUGGAACCUGUGUAUCAGCCCUAUUAUGUGGAUCCCCAGUUGGAAUUACUCAUUGAAAGAAUUUACCCUCCCAGAGUUUGCAUAGACAAUGAUACCUUUCAGGAUUGCACCCUUGUGAAGGUUGAUAGUGCAAACAAACAUGGAAUUCUACUUGAGAUGGUGCAAGUUUUGACGGAUCUUGAUCUUGUAAUCUCUAAAUCUUACAUUUCUUCAGACGGUGGAUGGUUUAUGGAUGUUUUCCAGGUGACAGAUCAAUUUGGAAAUAAACUCACAGAUGAAAGUCUCAUCCAUUACAUUAAGCAGGCAUUGUGUGCGAGUAGGAGAGAAGGGUCAUCGAGAAAAAUGAGAAUGUGCAAUAUGGGAAAGGAAUUGUUGUCAUCAGAGCAUACGGCGGCAGAGAUCACCGGAAUUGAUAGGCCAGGCCUCUUAUCGGAGAUAUUCGCCGUACUGGUUGAGUUGGGCUGCAACGUCACAGCGGCCGUUGCGUGGACCCACCACAAAAGGGCAGCCUCCAUUAUCUACUUGGAAGAAGGUUGGAAUGGUGGACUCAUAAAGGAUCCAAAACGGCUGGCCCAUGUGCAAGAGCAACUUGAGAACGUGGUUGACGCCCAUAAUGGACAGGGGGAAACAAGCAGCGUGAAGUUGACAGCUCCUUCGGCUGGACGGACCCACACCGAACGACGGCUCCACCAGCUAAUGUAUGCCAAUGGCGACUACGAGCAGUGUCGGUGUCGCGACGAUAGCGAAAUAUGUAAAAAGAGUUGCACUCGUACACAUGUAAGGAUAGAGAGUUGUAAGGAGAAAGGAUAUUCGAUUAUCAAUAUUAAGAGCAGGGACCGUCCAAAGCUGCUGUU